Molecule: ribosomal RNA, 2916 nt
Filed under: Vibrio parahaemolyticus
Lineage: Bacteria; Pseudomonadati; Pseudomonadota; Gammaproteobacteria; Vibrionales; Vibrionaceae
Description: bacterial LSU rRNA
Rfam family: Bacterial large subunit ribosomal RNA
Source: RNAcentral
GUUGUAUGGUUAAGUGACUAAGCGUACACGGUGGAUGCCUUGGCAGUCAGAGGCGAUGAAAGACGUAGUAACUUGCGAUAAGCCCAGAUUAGGUAGUAACAACCAUUUGAGUCUGGGAUUUCUGAAUGGGGAAACCCACGUGCAUAAGCACGUAUCCUUACCUGAAUACAUAGGGUAAGGAGGCGAACCGGGGGAACUGAAACAUCUAAGUACCCCGAGGAAAAGAAAUCAACCGAGAUUCCGAAAGUAGCGGCGAGCGAAAUUGGACUAGCCCUUAAGCUUUACACGCGUUAGACGAACGGUCUGGAAAGUCCGACGAUACAGGGUGAUAGUCCCGUAGUUGACGACGUGUGUUCAGUGAAAUCGAGUAGGGCGGGACACGUGAUAUCCUGUCUGAAUAUGGGGGGACCAUCCUCCAAGGCUAAAUACUACUGACUGACCGAUAGUGAACCAGUACCGUGAGGGAAAGGCGAAAAGAACCCCUGUGAGGGGAGUGAAAUAGAACCUGAAACCGUGUACGUACAAGCAGUAGGAGCAGGCUUUGUCCUGUGACUGCGUACCUUUUGUAUAAUGGGUCAGCGACUUAUAUUCAGUGGCAAGGUUAACCAUCUAGGGGAGCCGUAGGGAAACCGAGUCUUAACUGGGCGUUCAGUCUCUGGAUAUAGACCCGAAACCAGGUGAUCUAGCCAUGGGCAGGUUGAAGGUUGAGUAACAUCAACUGGAGGACCGAACCGACUAAUGUUGAAAAAUUAGCGGAUGACUUGUGGCUAGGGGUGAAAGGCCAAUCAAACCUGGAGAUAGCUGGUUCUCCCCGAAAGCUAUUUAGGUAGCGCCUCGGACGAAUACUACUGGGGGUAGAGCACUGUUAAGGCUAGGGGGUCAUCCCGACUUACCAACCCUUUGCAAACUCCGAAUACCAGUAAGUACUAUCCGGGAGACACACGGCGGGUGCUAACGUCCGUCGUGGAGAGGGAAACAACCCAGACCGCCAGCUAAGGUCCCAAAUUACUACUAAGUGGGAAACGAUGUGGGAAGGCUCAGACAGCCAGGAUGUUGGCUUAGAAGCAGCCAUCAUUUAAAGAAAGCGUAAUAGCUCACUGGUCGAGUCGGCCUGCGCGGAAGAUGUAACGGGGCUAAGUAGUAAACCGAAGCUGCGGCAAUAUACUUUUGUAUAUUGGGUAGGGGAGCGUUCUGUAAGCGGUUGAAGGUGUGUGGUAACGCAUGCUGGACGUAUCAGAAGUGCGAAUGCUGACAUGAGUAACGAUAAAGGGGGUGAAAAACCUCCUCGCCGGAAGACCAAGGGUUCCUGUCCAACGUUAAUCGGGGCAGGGUAAGUCGACCCCUAAGGCGAGGCCGAAAGGCGUAGUCGAUGGGAAACGGGUUAAUAUUCCCGUACUUCUUACAAUUGCGAUGGGGGGACGGAGAAGGCUAGGUGGGCCUGGCGACGGUUGUCCAGGUUCAAGUGCGUAGGCUUAAGAGUUAGGUAAAUCCGGCUCUUUUUAAGGCUGAGACACGACGUCGAGCACCUACGGGUGUGAAGUCAUUGAUGCCAUGCUUCCAGGAAAAGCCUCUAAGCUUCAGAUUGUAAGGAAUCGUACCCCAAACCGACACAGGUGGUCGGGUAGAGAAUACCAAGGCGCUUGAGAGAACUCGGGUGAAGGAACUAGGCAAAAUGGUACCGUAACUUCGGGAGAAGGUACGCUCUUGAUGGUGAAGUCCCUUGCGGAUGGAGCUGACGAGAGUCGCAGAUACCAGGUGGCUGCAACUGUUUAUUAAAAACACAGCACUGUGCAAAAUCGUAAGAUGACGUAUACGGUGUGACGCCUGCCCGGUGCCGGAAGGUUAAUUGAUGGGGUUAGACUUCGGUCGAAGCUCUUGAUCGAAGCCCCGGUAAACGGCGGCCGUAACUAUAACGGUCCUAAGGUAGCGAAAUUCCUUGUCGGGUAAGUUCCGACCUGCACGAAUGGCGUAAUGAUGGCCACGCUGUCUCCACCCGAGACUCAGUGAAAUUGAAAUCGCUGUGAAGAUGCAGUGUACCCGCGGCUAGACGGAAAGACCCCGUGAACCUUUACUACAGCUUGGCACUGAACAUUGACCCUACAUGUGUAGGAUAGGUGGGAGGCUUUGAAGCAGGUACGCCAGUAUCUGUGGAGCCGUCCUUGAAAUACCACCCUUGUAGUGUUGAUGUUCUAACGUCGACCCCUUAUCGGGGUUGCGGACAGUGCCUGGUGGGUAGUUUGACUGGGGCGGUCUCCUCCCAAAGAGUAACGGAGGAGCACGAAGGUGGGCUAAUCACGGUUGGACAUCGUGAGGUUAGUGCAAUGGCAUAAGCCCGCUUGACUGCGAGAAUGACAAUUCGAGCAGGUGCGAAAGCAGGUCAUAGUGAUCCGGUGGUUCUGAAUGGAAGGGCCAUCGCUCAACGGAUAAAAGGUACUCCGGGGAUAACAGGCUGAUACCGCCCAAGAGUUCAUAUCGACGGCGGUGUUUGGCACCUCGAUGUCGGCUCAUCACAUCCUGGGGCUGAAGUCGGUCCCAAGGGUAUGGCUGUUCGCCAUUUAAAGUGGUACGCGAGCUGGGUUUAGAACGUCGUGAGACAGUUCGGUCCCUAUCUGCCGUGGGCGUUGGAAGAUUGAAGGGGGCUGCUCCUAGUACGAGAGGACCGGAGUGGACGAACCUCUGGUGUUCGGGUUGUGUCGCCAGACGCAUUGCCCGGUAGCUAAGUUCGGAAUCGAUAACCGCUGAAAGCAUCUAAGCGGGAAGCGAGCCCUGAGAUGAGUCUUCCCUGAUACUUUAAGUAUCCUAAAGGGUUGUCGGAGACUACGACGUUGAUAGGUCAGGUGUGUAAGUGCUGUGAGGCAUUGAGCUAACUGAUACUAAUUGCCCGUGAGGCUUAACCAUACAACACCCAAGGGGUUU